RNAcentral lists this ribosomal RNA (497 nucleotides) under uncultured bacterium. RNAcentral's name for it is "partial 16S ribosomal RNA". It matches the Rfam family "Bacterial small subunit ribosomal RNA", at positions 28 to 507 of the family's 1533-position model. The record is from RNAcentral.
GACGAACGCUGGCGGCGUGCCUAAUACAUGCAAGUUGAGCGCUGAAGGUUGGUACUUGUACCAACUGGAUGAGCAGCGAACGGGUGAGUAACGCGUGGGGAAUCUGCCUUUGAGCGGGGGACAACAUUUGGAAACGAAUGCUAAUACCGCAUAAAAACUUUAAACACAAGUUUUAAGUUUGAAAGAUGCAAUUGCAUCACUCAAAGAUGAUCCCGCGUUGUAUUAGCUAGUUGGUGAGGUAAAGGCCCACCAAGGCGAUGAUACAUAGCCGACCUGAGAGGGUGAUCGGCCACAUUGGGACUGAGACACGGCCCAAACUCCUACGGGAGGCAGCAGUAGGGAAUCUUCGGCAAUGGACGAAAGUCUGACCGAGCAACGCCGCGUGAGUGAAGAAGGUUGUCGGAUCGUAAAACUCUGUUGGUAGAGAAGAACGUUGGUGAGAGUGGAAAGCUCAUCAAGUGACGGUAACUACCCAGAAAGGGACGGCUAACUACGUG